UCGAUAUUGUAAACAGGCGCCCCUGCGCUCGCGAGCUGAACUUUAGACUUUUGCUGGAAAGUUUUCAAAGCGAGCAGCGAUUUAUCCAUGUGUCAGCAUUUUCUGUGCGAUGUGAUUUAGUGACACUAUUCGAGAACAGUUUCCUGCUAACCGAACAAAAUGUCACUGCUUGUGGACUGUGUGAAAUUCAUCGAAACGUACCGAGGCCGCGACAAGAUCAUCCGGCUAUGUUCUUACGCAGCAAUGUUAGUCGGUGGGGACAACACGUCUCCCAUCUCCGAGAAGGCACGUGUGAUCGGUCGCGAGUUGAGCGCAUGCAGGGUGAUACUUCGCCUGUUCGAUGACCUGCCAAUGCUAGCGUAUAACCUUCAGUACGGACUUGGCAGCAAGGAGAAGAACCCGUGCCUACGUGUGUGUGAACUAGGCUCGAACUUGGUCAACCAGCUGUACUACCCCAUAGAGCACAUUGCCUGGUGUGCCGACAAGCAGCUCCUCACCAUCAAGUCGGGCAGCUUCUGGCUGGCGGGACUCAUCCUGUGGGCCAUCUCCCUCACGCUGCAAGCCGUCAAGUGCUUGCUGACCAUUGCCAGGUUAAAGCGUUCAGCCAACAGACUGAAGAAACAGAGGUAUCUUGAUGGGCAAGACCAAUAUUAUGAGAACUCCGAACAGCGGGAAGAGUUGUGGUUGCAGCUGCAUGGUGUGCAGGCUGACAUCUUCAGCCAGUACCUGCUCCUGCUUCAGUCGAUGGCCGACCUCCUCAACGCCAUCAACUGGCUGCCCAAGGGAUGGCUGUGGGGGGGGCGCUUUGGUGCUGCCAAGUCGGGGCUGUUCGGCCUCGCCUCCUCUCUCAUCAUGCUGUUCCGACACUGGUAUUCCCGGUCCUGAUGACUGCUCGUCCUUAUCUAGCAGAGAUGCUACCAUUACAAUAUUGAAGCACAUUCCACGAAUACGAUUAUGUGAAAUAUAUUACGAAUUAUGUGAAAAAACAUUUCCUGUAAUUAAAACCUACAGUCGUUUUAAUAAUAAUUAUUUAUAAUGUUAUUAACCAAUUAAUAGUAUAUUUUUCUGUUUUGGCAUAGAAAGGUUUACAUAUUUCAAGGAGUUUUAAUAUGUGAUGCAAAAUAUUAUUUUUUUCUCAGCAGUAUUGUUUAGUCAGAAAUGCUACCAAUGAUAACCUAUUACUGAUUCUAGAUACCCAUUAAUAAUUCAAGAUAUUACUUAUUGCUUUAUAUUGGUGUUGACAUCUCGGCAUUAUGUUGUCCCAACACUGCUAUGCCAGGUCGUGAGAACAGAGACCAUAUGACAGACGGUGUGUUACAUGUAUAUCGUCUCUGGUGAGAAGUGCUCUGCUUACAGAAUCAGGGGCAGGUAACUCCGGGCCUUCAGGAAAGAUCCUGACAUUCAGACUUUGUUACUCACAACGCAUGUCUUCCAUUAAAACAUGUGGGAAAGUUUCCACUUUCAUUUGCAUGCUAUCAUGAUUAUAUACACCUGGAAAUUAAUUAAGCAUCCCCUGGUUUUUUUGCCAUGUGUGUCUAACAACAUGGUAUCACUCACACCAAGUCUAAAAUAUGAUGGAAAAAUAUACGCCAUGUUGAAGAUGAGACUCCCGACUAGCGAAAACACAGAGAAUGUUGACAAUGGUCAUUGUUUUAAUUAUGGGCAUGACACAGUGCCAGCAGUACUGUAAAUGAGACAGAAUGGGAACCAUAGUAACUAGGGAUUGGGAAAGUUGACUUUAGAUUGCAAAGUGGUUUAGGGCGCUGUAAAGGGAGACUAGUCAGAAUCAGUUGACUGUCUCCUACGUUUAAUUCAAGCUACAACUUUCAUUAUUUAUGAAUUCAUGUGCCUUUGUUAUGAAUAAUGUUAAGGGAGAAUAAUGUUAAGGGAGAAUAAUGUUAAGGGAGAAUAAUGUUAGGGGAGAAUAAUGUUAAGGGAGAACAAGGUUAAGGGAGAAUAAUGUUAAGGGAGAAUAAUGUUAAGGGAGAAUAAUGUUAAGGGAGAAUAAUGUUAAGGGAGAAUAAUGUUAAGGGAGAACAAGGUUAAGGGAGAAUAAUGUUAAGGGAGAAUAAUGUUAAGGGAGAAUAAUGUUAAGGGAGAACAAGGUUAAGGGAGAUUAAUGUUAAGGGAGAAAAAGGGUUAAGGGAGAACAAGGUUAAGGGAGAAUAAUGUUAAGGGAGAAUAAUGUUAAGGGAGAACAAGGUUAAGGGAGAUUAAUGUUAAGGGAGAACAAGGUUAAGGGAGAUUAAUGUUAAGGGAGAACAAGGUUAAGGGAGAUUAAUGUUAAGGGAGAACAAGGUUAAGGGAGAUUAAUGUUAAGGGAGAAUAAUGUUAAGGGAGAAUAAUGUUAAGGGAGAACAAGGUUAAGGGAGAAUAAUGUUAAGGAAGAAUAAUGUUAAGGGAGAAUAAUGUUAAGGGAGAAUAAUGUUAAGGGAGAACAAGGUUAAGGGAGAUUAAUGUUAAGGGAGAUUAAUGUUAAGGGAGAAUAAUGUUAAGGGAGAACAAGGUUAAGGGAGAUUAAUGUUAAGGGAGAAUAAUGUUAAGGGAGAACAAGGUUAAGGGAGAUUAAUGUUAAGGGAGAACAAGGUUAAGGGAGAAUAAUGUUAAGGGAGAAUAAUGUUAAGGGAGAACAAGGUUAAGGGAGAAUAAUGUUAAGGGAGAACAAGGUUAAGGGAGAAUAAUGUUAAGGGAGAAUAAUGUUAAGGGAGAACAAUGUUAAGGAAGAUCAAUGUUAAGGGAGAAUAAUGUUAAGGGAGAAUAAUGUUAAGGGAGAAUAAUGUUAAGGGAGAACAAGGUUAAGGGAGAAUAAUGUUAAGGGAGAAUAAUGUUAAGGGAGAUUAAUGUUAAGGGAGAAUAAUGUUAAGGGAGAACAAUGUUAAGGGAGAAUAAUGUUAGGGGAGAAUAAUGUUAAGGGAGAUUAAUGUUAAGGGAGAAUAAUGUUAAGGGAGAUUAAUGUUAAGGGAGAAUAAUGUUAAGGGAGAAUAAUGUUAGGGGAGAAUAAUGUUAAGGGAGAAUAAUGUUAAGGGAGAACAAGGUUAAGGGAGAAUAAUGUUAAGGAAGAAUAAUGUUAAGGGAGAAUAAUGUUAAGGGAGAUUAAUGUUAAGGGAGAUUAAUGUUAAGGGAGAACAAGGUUAAGGGAGAACAAGGUUAAGGGAGAUUAAUGUUAAGGAAGAAUAAUGUUAAGGGAGAACAAGGUUAAGGGAGAUUAAUGUUAAGGGAGAAUAAUGUUAAGGGAGAACAAUGUUAAGGGAGAUUAAUGUUAAGGGAGAAUAAUGUUAAGGGAGAUUAAUGUUAAGGGAGAACAAGGUUAAGGGAGAACAAGGUUAAGGGAGAUUAAUGUUAAGGAAGAAUAAUGUUAAGGGAGAACAAGGUUAAGGGAGAUUAAUGUUAAGGGAGAACAAGGUUAAGGGAGAUUAAUGUUAAGGGAGAACAAGGUUAAGGGAGAUUAAUGUUAAGGGAGAAUAAUGUUAAGGGAGAAUAAUGUUAAGGGAGAACAAGGUUAAGGGAGAACAAGGUUAAGGAAGAACAAUGUUAAGGGAGAACAAUGUUAAGGGAGAAUAAUGUUAAGGGAGAAUAAUGUUAAGGGAGAAUAAUGUUAAGGAAGAAUAAUGUUAAGGGAGAAUAAUGUUAAGGAAGAAUAAUGUUAGGGGAGAAUAAUGUUAAGGGAGAAUAAUGUUAAGGGAGAUUAAUGUUAAGGGAGAAUAAUGUUAAGGGAGAAUAAUGUUAAGGGAGAACAAGGUUAAGGGAGAUUAAUGUUAAGGGAGAAUAAUGUUAAGGGAGAACAAGGUUAAGGGAGAAUAAUGUUAAGGGAGAACAAUGUUAAGGGAGAAUAAUGUUAAGGGAGAACAAGGUUAAGGGAGAUUAAUGUUAAGGGAGAAUAAUGUUAAGGGAGACUAAUGUUAAGGGAGAACAAGGUUAAGGGAGAACAAGGUUAAGGAAGAACAAUGUUAAGGGAGAAUAAUGUUAAGGGAGAAUAAUGUUAAGGGAGAAUAAUGUUAAGGAAGAAUAAUGUUAAGGGAGAAUAAUGUUAAGGAAGAAUAAUGUUAGGGGAGAAUAAUGUUAAGGGAGAUUAAUGUUAAGGGAGAAUAAUGUUAAGGGAGAAUAAUGUUAAGGGAGAACAAGGUUAAGGGAGAUUAAUGUUAAGGGAGAAUAAUGUUAAGGGAGAACAAGGUUAAGGGAGAAUAAUGUUAAGGGAGAAUAAUGUUAAGGGAGAACAAGGUUAAGGGAGAAUAAUGUUAAGGAAGAAUAAUGUUAAGGGAGAAUAAUGUUAAGGGAGAUUAAUGUUAAGGAAGAAUAAUGUUAAGGGAGAACAAGGUUAAGGGAGAUUAAUGUUAAGGGAGAAUAAUGUUAAGGGAGAACAAGGUUAAGGGAGAUUAAUGUUAAGGGAGAAUAAUGUUAAGGGAGAACAAGGUUAAGGGAGAACAAGGUUAAGGGAGAUUAAUGUUAAGGGAGAAUAAUGUUAAGGGAGAACAAGGUUAAGGGAGGUUAAUGUUAAGGGAGAACAAGGUUAAGGGAGAAUAAUGUUAAGGGAGAAUAAUGUUAAGGGAGAAUAAUGUUAAGGGAGAACAAGGUUAAGGGAGAUUAAUGUUAAGGGAGAAUAAUGUUAAGGGAGAACAAGGUUAAGGGAGAAUAAUGUUAAGGGAGAACAAGGUUAAGGGAGAAUAAUGUUAAGGGAGAUUAAUGUUAAGGGAGAAUAAUGUUAAGGGAGAACAAUGUUAAGGGAGAAUAAUGUUAAGGGAGAAUAAUGUUAGGGGAGAAUAAUGUUAGGGGAGAAUAAUGUUAGGGGAGAAUAAUGUUAAGGGAGAAUAAUGUUAGGGGAGAAUAAUGUUAGGGGAGAAUAAUGUUAAGGGAGAAUAAUGUUAGGGGAGAUUAAUGUUAAGCGAGAAUAAUGUUAGGGGAGAAUAAUGUUAAGGGAGAAUAAUGUUAAGGGAGAAUAAUGUUAAGGGAGAAUAAUGUUAGGGGAGAACAAGGUUCGUACCAAUCUGCAGUCCUAGAUCCAAGUCAUUUAAUUCUUGUGUGUGUUUGCUUAAAGUUUAUUAAGUGCAUUGAAACCCUGUUAAUCCAGACACUGAUUAACAGAUGUCUGGAUUAAUGAAUUCUUUCGGAAAGAGUUAUGCCACUUUGUAUGUAUAUAACCAGUAAAUGUCCUGAAAGGUGAGUUUCCAGAUUACAGAGGUAUCACUGUAACAGCAGUCUUACAGUUACCGUCAUUACACAUGGCAGUUUUAUCGCAGUUUGGAAAAAAAUAAUGAUUGUGGGUAAAACUCUGUACUCUGUCAAUGCUCCAUUAUUUAUUUAAGCAGAUUGUUUCAAGAAAGACUUCCACAAAGACUCGGUGGAAUUGAAAGUGACGGAGAAGGAAACAAUGUCGAAAAUAAGCAGUAUUUGAUUGAGAAGUUGUGUAUGCAUGCAUCAUCAUCAUCAUCAUCAUCAUCAUCAUUGCCCUCCUCCUCUGUGCAGAGUUGUGUCCCUUGGGCUUGCUUGAAACAUGAUCUUGGGUUCAAAUCCUGGUUCGCCCUGAUUAUGUUUCCAGGUUUGUCAGCACCACGUUGCUUGUUGGUUCAACAAAGUUGUAAUUAAACAUCUGAGACCUGCAUCACUUCGGGCUUUCCUACCACAUUAAGCUGACACUCACUCAUUCAUUCGCAGGCUCGCUCGCUCACUCACUCACUCACUCACUCACUCACUCACUCACUCACUCACUCCCACACUCACUCACUCACUCACUCCCACACCCACCCACCCACCCACUCACCCACUCACUCCCUCACUCACUCACCAUCCUCCUCAUCAUAUCCCUGUGUUGACCCAUGUUACUGUAUCAAUGCUCUUUUAUUUAGUACAUAUUACACAAUUAGUGUGACACAAUCCUAUAUGGCAAUGGGAUCUCUUAUUCAGCACAUUUAUACAGCUUACAAAUAUUACACCUAGUUAUUCAAGAUUUGCAGAUGUAUAUUUAUUAAGUCUUCUUCAGAUGUUGGAUUUCUAUCAAGUUUUAUGAUGACUAGAUGUGGCAUUUUCAGUGCCUCUGCAAUACACUGUACAUUAUAAAUUCAAUCCUUUAACUGGCAAUCCAUUUAUUAAUUUUAUCCAAAGCUGGAUUAAAUUAGAUUUCCGUUUCUUGUGGGGUCAGAUGAUAUUCCAGUUGAUAUUCCUCAAAAACAAACAUUGACCCAAAAGUGGAAUCAAAUUCUUCGACCGAGUCCGUCGAACACUGUCCCCAUUAGACUUCUCAGCUGCCUCAUGACUCACCCAGCAUUGUUUUUAUCUGGCUUUCAUGUCCUGCAAUCAGCAUUACUGCAGGUGACACCCUCGUUCCUCCUUUACUCUCUGCACUGUUAUUUUCUCACAGGCGAUAGGGUAGCCUAGUGGUUCAAGUGUUCGCUCGUCACGCUGAAAACCUGGGUUCGAUUCCCCACAUUCGUACAAUGUGUGAAGCCCAUUUCUGGUUUCCCCUGUUGUGAUGUUGCUGUAAUAUUGCUAAAAGCAUACUCGAUCAAUAUUUCGUCAUAUUUAUAUAAGGGGAGACAACCCCGUCACAUCUCUGUGUGUUUUUAUGAUACGCAAUUUUUAACUGUUGUUGCACGUGUGGUGUAUAAACUGACUCAAGUCUGGUGUAUGAAAGGUGUGAGAAUACAGGAAUAAAGAUUGUGAAGAAGA
This 6660-nucleotide unclassified non-coding RNA is filed under the name Haliotis rufescens (red abalone). Its description in RNAcentral is "peroxisomal membrane protein 11C-like, transcript variant X1". The record is from RNAcentral. Lineage: Eukaryota; Metazoa; Mollusca; Gastropoda; Lepetellida; Haliotidae.